This 502-nucleotide ribosomal RNA is filed under the name uncultured bacterium. Its description in RNAcentral is "partial 16S ribosomal RNA". It matches the Rfam family "Bacterial small subunit ribosomal RNA", at positions 28 to 507 of the family's 1533-position model. The record is from RNAcentral.
GAUUAACGCUGGCGGCGUGCCUAACACAUGCAAGUCGAGCGGCAGCGAGUUUUACACUGAAUUCUGGAAGCUUCUAGUUGAAAGAGAAGAUUUAUUCAAGAAUUUUGUGUAAAAUGUCGGCGAGCGGCGGACGGCUGAGUAACGCGUGGGAACGUACCCCAAAGUGAGGGAUAACGCAUCGAAAGGUGUGCUAAUACCGCAUAUGGUCUUCGGAUUAAAGCCUUCGGGCGCUUUGGGAACGGCCUGCGUAAGAUUAGAUAGUUGGUGGGGUAAUGGCCUACCAAGUCGACGAUCUUUAACUGGUUUGAGAGGAUGAUCAGUCAGACUGGAACUGAGACACGGUCCAGACUCCUACGGGAGGCAGCAGUGAGGAAUCUUCCACAAUGGGCGAAAGCCUGAUGGAGCAACGCCGCGUGCAGGAUGAAGGCAUUCGGGUUGUAAACUGCUUUUAUAUGUGAGGAUUAUGACAGUAACUUAUGAAUAAGGAUCGGCUAACUACGUG